RNAcentral lists this small nuclear RNA (103 nucleotides) under Carlito syrichta (Philippine tarsier). Lineage: Eukaryota; Metazoa; Chordata; Mammalia; Primates; Tarsiidae. The record is from RNAcentral.
GUGCUUGCUUUGGCAGUACAUAUACUAAAAUUGGAAUGAUACAGAGAUUAGCAUCGCCCCAUGCAAGGAUGUCAUGCAAAUUCGUGAAGCCUUUCAUAUUUUU